AGGCGCAUCUGCGCAGGCGCCCGGCUCCUAAGUCUACCCAGGAACUGACCCUGCUCUCUCUUUUCCCUGUUAGACAUGGGCACUCCACAGAAGGAUGUUAUUAUCAAGUCAGAUGCACCGGACACUUUGUUAUUGGAGAAACAUGCAGAUUAUAUCGCAUCCUAUGGCUCAAAGAAAGAUGAUUAUGUAUGUAUAAUUUUUUUAUGUUGGAAAGUUUAUUUUAAAGAAGUGUGACAGUCAUAAGCAGUGAGACAGUAUAUUUUAUGUCUUAAAAUGGCAUCCAACUCCAUGCAGAGAACUGAGGAUGUGCUGUGCCUUUGAACUUCAGUUAAGUGUGCUUUGGACGUCUGAGGCUGUGGGCUUAUUAGAAUCGCAGUUUUUACCUAUACUGAGAGGGCUUGCCAGACAAAGUAGAUGAGGGUUUGAGGUACAAAACGGGUUUCUCUUUUUGUAGUUAGGGGUAAUACUUUCAAGGUCAAUGAUGUGUUGGCAUGUAUUAUCUGAAUCUAUUGCUGAUGUGUAAUAACACUUUAGCUCUAGAAUUACUCUGAGACCUUGAAAAAGUUUUACCUUAAAUUUUUAAAUUUCGAGGAAAACUCUGGGACAAUCUUAGCAAAAAGUAGUAAACAACUUAGUUAAGAGUAAAUGUUUUUCCCUGUAGUAUCCAAACUCAGUUGUCUUAGUCUACCGAUUUGUGGGAUAUAUGGUAUGUAUUAAUUUUUUACUUAAGUGUUAGGUUCCCAUAACCUUGAAAAUACUCUAGUAGCAAUCGUGGAGUUAAGGUCAUAUGGAUGGGGCUGGACUCGUUUCUGCCUUUAUCUGCUAUCUAUCUUUAUGCCCUGAAUUUGGGUUAGUAGCAAACUAAGAUGCACCACCUGUUAAAAAACUUCUUUUUUUCCUUUUGAGAGCUAUAACCUCACUUUGUUGCCCAGACUGGAGGACAGCGGUGCGAUCUGGGCUCACUGCAGCCUCCAUCUCCUGGGUUUAAGUGAGCCACCUGAAUAGCUGGGAUUACAGGCACAUUCAACCAUGCCCAGCUAGUUUUUGUAUUUUUCGUAGAGACUGAGUUUUGCUAUGUUGGCCAGAGUGGUCUCAAACUCCUGACCUCAAGUGAUCUGCCUGCCCCAGCUUUCCAAAGUGCUGGGAUUACAGGCAGGAGCCACCACCCAGCCACAAAACUUCUUAAAAUAUAAUGCAUUGUUGAGUGUGGGAAAAAUUUGUUUCUGGAAUCCUAAUACUAAUUUUCAUGUAUCAUUGAUUAGCCACUGUUUUAUCUGGGCUUAAACAUCUUUGGCAUGUUUAGGGCAUUUUGAUUUUUCAUGUAGUUAUAUAAUUUACUAAUAGAUAAUAGGUUUUGUACAGAGUCCACAUUAAAAUAGAUGUCUGAUAAAUAUGGUAUAGGUACUUGGAAAGAAAUACUCUCCCUGAACUUCACUGAUGAAAAAGGUAGAUGUUUUUCUGUCUCUGGCUCAUGGGAGAAACUAAAGCACUGUUUGUAUUGUCAGCCAUAGAUUAACUAAUCCUGUGCUUCUCAGAUAAUUGUUUUUUUCUGAUAAUAGUUGUGUCUGAAGAUGGCUUCUAACAUUGAGCAGCACAGAUUUUAAACUCACUACUGAUCAGUGCUGUUAAGGUCAGGAGAGGUAAAAAUAGCAGAAUGGCUAAUGAGUUACCUUUGUGUUUAAUCUCUUUAUAACUUGUUACCAGUUCAAAUGACAGAUUUAAGAAAUUGUGUAUUAUUUUAGGAAUACUGUAUGUCUGAGUAUUUGAGAAUGAGUGGCAUCUAUUGGGGUCUGACAGUAAUGGAUCUCAUGGGACAACUUCAUCGCAUGAAUAGAGAAGAGAUUCUGGCAUUUAUUAAGUCUUGCCAACAUGAAUGUGGUGGAAUAAGUGCUAGUAUCGGACAUGAUCCUCAUCUUUUAUACACUCUUAGUGCUGUCCAGGUAAAUACUAAUCAAAAUUGCAACGAUCUUGAUAGUAUGUUCUCUUACUUCAGAGUUGGAAAUUGAAACUGUGUCAGGAUUUGGUCAAAAAGUUUUGUUACAAGUGAAGCUGUCCUACAAGGUCAAUGAUGUAAUGGCAUGUAUUAGCUGAAUCUAAAGUUGAUGUGAGUUCUAAAAUUACACUGAGACCUUGGAGGGUGAAAUUUUUAUCUUCAGUAUGUGUAAAUACUGUAAAAUAGCUAAAUGGAGCUAUUUGAUUUUGAUAUUAGUGAACAUCUACCUGGUGGUUUAAAGUCUUUCUGGUACUGGGUGCUGAGAUGGGAAGAUCAGGACUUUGUGUGUAUGUGAGUUAGUAUACUUGAGUAUCUUGGAAUGCCAAGUUAAAAUUUAUAUGUAGAAAAUUAUACUUUAAAGAUUUGAGUUUUCUUGAUACUAUCUAAUUUUAUUCAAUAACAGGAGAGUCUGCAUAUUUGAGAAAAGGUUAUACACAGAGACAAAAGGAUGUGCCUGACAACUUAAAAAGAGUUGAGCAUAAGAUCAUUAGAAUAAACCUGAAAGGGACAUUUACCUAAUACUUGUCUUUAUUGCAGAUUCUUACGCUGUAUGACAGUAUUAAUGUUAUUGACGUAAAUAAAGUUGUGGAAUAUGUUAAAGGUCUACAGAAAGAAGAUGGUUCUUUUGCUGGAGAUAUUUGGGGUAAUGUCAGAUUUAGUCCAUUCUACCCAAAAUACCAAUAUUAAAAUGUAGUGGUUUUGCUAGUAACCAGUUUAUAAGUUUUUCAUCUUUUCAGGUCCCACUAAGCAGCUGGUCUAACUGGAGUUAAUGGUCUGCUGGAACUUCCAGCAUGCACUGUGGUAGUUAUAUCAGCAUAUACAGGAGCACUGGAACAGAGGGGGCCAGUCUAAAAGAUAAGGUAGGUGGAAUUUUUUUCCCCAAUAUUUGGUGGCUUUGUAAAGUUUUUUAAAAACUACUUGCUGGAAAGGGAAAAAUAUUUAAAAAAAAAACUUUACAAACUUGCUGAAUAUUUGAGUGGAGGGAGGGAAUAGAAUUUUAUUUGAUAAACGUAGAUAAUCUCUGCUUUAGGGAUGAACACAGUGCAGGCCAGAGAGACCAGCUGCUUCAUGGGAUGUGAAAAAUCUACUUUUAUAAAGUAGGGAGAAAUUGACACAAGAUUCUCUUUUUGUGCGGUGGCAACUUUGGCUUUGUUGGGGAAGCUUGAUGCUAUUAAUGUGGAAAAGGCAAUCGAAUUUGUUUUAUCCUGUAUGAACUUUGACGGUGGAUUUGGUUGCAGACCAGGUUCUGAAUCCCAUGCUGGGCAGAUCUAUUGUUGCACAGGAUUUCUGGCUAUUACAAGUCAGUUGCAUCAAGUAAAUUCUGAUUUACUUGGCUGGUGGCUUUGUGAACGACAGUUACCCUCAGGCGGGCUCAAUGGAAGGCCGGAGAAGUUACCAGAUGUAUGCUACUCAUGGUGGGUCCUGGCUUCCCUAAAAAUAAUUGGAAGACUUCAUUGGAUUGAUAGAGAGAAACUGCGUAAUUUCAUUUUAGCAUGUCAAGAUGAAGAAACGGGGGGAUUUGCAGACAGGCCAGGAGAUAUGGUGGAUCCUUUUCAUACCUUAUUUGGAAUUGCUGGAUUGUCACUUUUGGGAGAAGAACAGAUUAAACCUGUUAAUCCUGUCUUUUGCAUGCCUGAAGAAGUGCUUCAGAGAGUGAAUGUUCAGCCUGAGCUAGUGAGCUAGAUUCAUUGAAUUGAAAGUUGCAUAGUAUAGUUUUGCCAUUUUAACAUUUCUGUAUUUGAAGUGCUUAUCGAAUCUAAAAGUGACUACUGUUAAUAUUUUGUAUAUUGUGUUAAAUUAAUUUUAAUAAAUUAUAUAAUUAUACAUAUUGUAAAAUAAAGACCGGUAUUUUAUUUUCUGCUUUUU
RNAcentral lists this small RNA (3859 nucleotides) under Pan troglodytes (chimpanzee). RNAcentral's name for it is "processed transcript". The stretch from base 2061 to 2132 matches the Rfam family "Small nucleolar RNA SNORD45". Lineage: Eukaryota; Metazoa; Chordata; Mammalia; Primates; Hominidae. The record is from RNAcentral.